This 221-nucleotide ribosomal RNA is filed under the name uncultured bacterium. RNAcentral describes it as "partial 16S ribosomal RNA". It matches the Rfam family "Bacterial small subunit ribosomal RNA", at positions 1277 to 1500 of the family's 1533-position model. The record is from RNAcentral.
UAAACGUCUCAGUUCGGAUUGUAGUCUGCAACUCGACUACAUGAAGCUGGAAUCGCUAGUAAUCGCGAAUCAGAAUGUCGCGGUGAAUACGUUCCCGGGUCUUGUACACACCGCCCGUCACACCAUGGGAGUCAGUAACGCCCGAAGCCGGUGACCUAACCGAAAGGGAGGAGCCGUCGAAGGUGGGACCGAUAACUGGGGUGAAGUCGUAACAAGGUACC